Hibiscus syriacus is the source of this 163-nucleotide long non-coding RNA. RefSeq lists it as uncharacterized. The transcript is spliced from 3 exons. The record is from RefSeq and is a predicted model, not a curated record. NCBI's taxonomy places the organism in Eukaryota, Viridiplantae, Streptophyta, Magnoliopsida, Malvales, Malvaceae.
AAGGCAGUACUUGGUUAGAAGUCAAAAUACUGCUGCGCUUAAAGGCAAUAAUGCUCAUCUUUACUAGAAACUUUAGAUUGACUACAACACGAACUAUAUGUGCUAUCAAGUCAAAAUACUAAGGAACUUAAGGAAGGCUAGCUUCAAAAGCCACUCUCGACAA